Prolemur simus (greater bamboo lemur) is the source of this 126-nucleotide small nuclear RNA. Lineage: Eukaryota; Metazoa; Chordata; Mammalia; Primates; Lemuridae. The record is from Ensembl.
GUCUUAUAUGAAAGGAAAGAAGUUUAGCACUCCCCUUGACAAGGAUGGAAGAGGCCCUCAGUCCUAACAAUACACAUAAAGUUAAGGAAUUGCCAGUGACUUCGUGGCAUCUAACCAUUGUUUAAA